Molecule: RNA transcript, 2034 nt
Organism: Grammomys surdaster
Lineage: Eukaryota; Metazoa; Chordata; Mammalia; Rodentia; Muridae
Gene: Tti2
Gene name: TELO2 interacting protein 2
Exons: 6
Source: RefSeq, a predicted model, not a curated record
AGAAAGACAAAGUUCGCCACAUGUUAGGAGUUUGAGGCUCUCACCAUAACGAGGCCCCUUGUCACACCCACUUAACCGAGUUCCACUCGAUCCUUGUGUCAAGACAGUAAGACAGUUCGCCUUUUCACUGUGCAUGGUUUUAGUUCUGUUCGUAGGGGGACUCCCAGCCCCGGACGACCUUCCCUCUGAGACUCCAACACCUCCUCCAUUUGGUCUCCGUCCCCGCGGGGAGCCCAGCCCACCGGGUGCGAUUAGGAAUGAAGCUGGACAGUGCAGAAGAGAAGGGGGUCGGCCGCUCCCUGCCUGCAGAAGGGUCUUCCCCGACCCUCGAACGAGCCUUCUCCAAGAUUCUGCAGGAUCUCAGCCGCCAGGAGUCAUCAGGACAAAGCAACGCAAGAAACGCCGCUCUUAAAGACCUCAGUGCUUUAAUAGAAGCCGCCGAAUGUGACCAAUUAUUUGAGGGGAGUGGGAGUGGUGGAUCCCUCCGGGGGAUGCCCGAGAUCCUGGGACAGGUGGUGAAAGCCCUGGAGAAGUUCGCAGCACCCAAGGAGAAGGCGGAUGGAGGCGAAGAGCAACCCGAAGUACCUGAGAAGGCAACUGAAGUUGGCUCACUAUUUCUAAAGCUGUUGGGCAAGGUUGAAACUUCGAAGAGUUCUCCCGACUGCCCUGCAUGGAAGACAGGCCUCCGACACUUGUCAGGACCCAUGUAUAUUUUUGCCAUCACACACAGAUUGAAGCAGCCAUGGACCAGUCCAAAAUCUCAGCAUGUUGCGGGCGAGGUGCUGUCUUUACUGUUUCGAGUUACUGAGUGUAGUUGUGUGGCAGGAUUCCUAUGCGGAGAAAAUGAAGAUGAUCGAGGGAGAUUUGCUGUGGUCUUGGGGCUCCUUAAGCCCCAUUUGAAUAAGGAAACCUGGAAGAAGAAUCCUGCUGUCAAACAUGUUUUCUCAUGGACUCUCCAAAAAGUCACUCAGCCCUGGCUGAGCCAGCAUCUAGAAAAGAUACUUCCUCCGUCUUUGCUCAUCUCAGACGACUAUCAAACUGAGAAUAAAAUCCUGGGUGUCCAGUGCCUCCACCACAUUGUGGUUAAUGUGCCAGCUGCUGAUUUGCUGCAGUACAACAGAGCCCAGGUUCUGUACCACGCCCUUUUCAAUCACCUGUACAUGCCAGAGCACAACCUCAUUCAGGCUGUGCUCCUGUGCCUCUUAGAUUUGUUCCCCGUCCUAGAGAAGGCUCUGCACUGGCAGGGAGAUUCAGCUCGAGCUACUACACACUGCCACGAGGUGCUACAACUGAUCCUCACCCACAUGGAGCCAGAGCAUCGCCUUCUCCUACGUAGGACGUAUGCCAGAAACCUGCCAGCUUUUGUGAAGAAGUUGGGGAUCCUGACUGUUCGGCACUUGAAGAGGCUGGAGCAAGUUAUCCUUGGUUAUCUGGAGGUUUAUGAUGAACCAGAAGAUGAAACUAGGUUGAAGAUACUGGAAACCCUGAAACUUGUCAUGCAGUAUACUUGGCCCAGGUUUGAGACCAGCCUUAUCUAUAUAGUUAGUUUCAGGCCAUCCAGGGCUACAUAGACCCUGUCUCAAGAAAAGAAAGAAAAGAGAAAAAGAGACAGAUGGACAAACACAUGGUGGGGGAGAAAGGAAGAAAAAUCACAAAAAUUUAUGGUUAUGUAAAUGGGGAAACAUUGCAGAUUUUCUAUUGCUGUGGUAAGAUAUUAUGAUGAAGGCAAUUUACAGAAGAAAGUUUGUUUUGAGCUUACAGAUUCAGAGGGUUCAAGUCUAUGAUAUGGGGCAGCUGAGAGCUCACAUCUUGAGACACAAUGAAGGAACAGAGAACUGGGAAUGGCAGUUAAAACCUCAACGUUCACUCCUGGUGUCACACCUCCUAAACUUUCCCACACUGUUCCACCAUCUGAGGAGCAGAAUUUCCUGCAGAGUUGUGGUCUUACUGAAGGCUCUCCUGAAACUGAUAUGUGAUGUAGCGAGGGAUAAGAUCCCCACAACUGAGGCAGCUAAGAGUGUGGUGCUCCAGGAA